RNAcentral lists this ribosomal RNA (493 nucleotides) under Crenosoma striatum. Its description in RNAcentral is "SSU rRNA". It matches the Rfam family "Eukaryotic small subunit ribosomal RNA", at positions 316 to 830 of the family's 1831-position model. Lineage: Eukaryota; Metazoa; Nematoda; Chromadorea; Rhabditida; Crenosomatidae. The record is from RNAcentral.
CAACCUGAUGGUAGUCUAUUAGUCUACCAUGGUUAUUACGGGUAACGGAGAAUAAGGGUUCGACUCCGGAGAGGGAGCCUUAGAAACGGCUACCACAUCCAAGGAAGGCAGCAGGCGCGAAACUUAUCCAAUCUUGAAUAGAUGAGAUAGUGACUAAAAAUAAAAAGACCAUUCCUAUGGAACGGUCAUUUCAAUGAGUUGAUCAUAAACCUUUUUUCGAGGAUCAAGUGGAGGGCAAGUCUGGUGCCAGCAGCCGCGGUAAUUCCAGCUCCACUAGUGUAAAUCGUCAUUGCUGCGGUUAAAAAGCUCGUAGUUGGAUCUGAGUCGCAUGCAGUAGUUCGCCUUUGGCGUUAAUUAUUGUUGUGACUAUUUGCUGGUUUUCUAUUGAAAUCUCGAUUUCUUUAGUGGCUAGCGAGUUUACUUUGAAUAAAUUAGAGUGCUCAGAACAAGCGUUUGCUUGAAUGAUCGAUCAUGGAAUAAUAAAAGAGGACUU